Molecule: ribosomal RNA, 253 nt
Filed under: uncultured bacterium
Lineage: Bacteria
Description: partial 16S ribosomal RNA
Rfam family: Bacterial small subunit ribosomal RNA
Source: RNAcentral
UACGAAGGGGGCUAGCGUUGUUCGGAUUUACUGGGCGUAAAGCGCACGUAGGCGGAUCUUUAAGUCAGAGGUGAAAUCCCAAGGCUCAACCUUGGAACUGCCUUUGAUACUGGGGAUCUUGAGUCCGGGAGAGGCGAGUGGAACUGCGAGUGUAGAGGUGAAAUUCGUAGAUAUUCGCAAGAACACCAGUGGCGAAGGCGGCUCACUGGCCCGGUACUGACGCUGAGGUGCGAAAGCGUGGGGAGCAAACAGG